RNAcentral lists this long non-coding RNA (217 nucleotides) under Elaeis guineensis (African oil palm). RNAcentral's name for it is "long non-coding RNA (EGUI_LNC032409)". The record is from RNAcentral. Lineage: Eukaryota; Viridiplantae; Streptophyta; Magnoliopsida; Arecales; Arecaceae.
UUGUUGGUUAACAUAAUAACUAAAACUUAGCUCAUAUAAUUAAUAUGGAAUCGACACCUAAUUAAAAGGAAGUCAUUCUAUUUCUCAUGGAAAAAUAGGCUAGGUUGUUGAUGAUGUAUAUAAAACUAAACGAGAAAAAAAAAUGUAGGAAAGAGGAAAAUAAGUUUUACAUUGAUGUAUAAAUUAAGCACAGAUACAAGAAUGGUUUAUAUAUCCA